This 468-nucleotide ribosomal RNA is filed under the name uncultured bacterium. RNAcentral describes it as "partial 16S ribosomal RNA". It matches the Rfam family "Bacterial small subunit ribosomal RNA", at positions 28 to 507 of the family's 1533-position model. The record is from RNAcentral.
GAUGAACGCUGGCGGCGUGCUUAACACAUGCAAGUCGAACGGUGAAGGCGGAGCUUGCUCUGCUGGAUCAGUGGCGAACGGGUGAGUAACACGUGAGCAAUCUGCCCCUGACUCUGGGAUAAGCGCUGGAAACGGCGUCUAAUACUGGAUACGAGCUGCGAAGGCAUCUUCAGCAGCUGGAAAGAACUUCGGUCAGGGAUGAGCUCGCGGCCUAUCAGCUUGUUGGUGAGGUAACGGCUCACCAAGGCGUCGACGGGUAGCCGGCCUGGGAGGGUGACCGGCCACACUGGGACUGAGACACGGCCCAGACGCCUACGGGAGGCAGCAGUGGGGAAUAUUGCACAAUGGGCGAAAGCCUGAUGCAGCAACGCCGCGUGAGGGACGACGGCCUUCGGGUUGUAAACCUCUUUUAGCAGGGAAGAAGCGAAAGUGACGGUACCUGCAGAAAAAGCGCCGGCUAACUACGUG